RNAcentral lists this unclassified non-coding RNA (336 nucleotides) under soil metagenome. RNAcentral describes it as "partial contains 5.8S ribosomal RNA, internal transcribed spacer 2, and large subunit ribosomal RNA". The stretch from base 2 to 121 matches the Rfam family "5.8S ribosomal RNA", at positions 35 to 154 of the family's 154-position model. The record is from RNAcentral.
GGAUGAAGAACGUAGCGAAAUGCGAUAAGUAAUGUGAAUUGCAGAAUUCAGUGAAUCAUCGAAUCUUUGAACGCACAUUGCGCCCGCCAGUAUUCUGGCGGGCAUGCCUGUUCGAGCGUCAUUUCAACCAUCAAGCCCCCGGCUUGUGUUGGGGACCUGCGGCUGCCGCAGGCCCUGAAAACCAGUGGCGGGCUCGCUAGUCACUCCGAGCGUAGUAAUACAUCUCGCUCAGGGCGUGCUGCGGGUUCCGGCCGUUAAAAAGCCUUAUUUACCCAAGGUUGACCUCGGAUCAGGUAGGAAGACCCGCUGAACUUAAGCAUAUCAAUAAGCGGAGGA